RNAcentral lists this ribosomal RNA (508 nucleotides) under uncultured bacterium. Its description in RNAcentral is "partial 16S ribosomal RNA". It matches the Rfam family "Bacterial small subunit ribosomal RNA", at positions 28 to 523 of the family's 1533-position model. The record is from RNAcentral.
GAUGAACGCUAGCUACAGGCUUAACACAUGCAAGUCGAGGGGAAACGAUAGAGAAAGCUUGCUUUUUCUAGGCGUCGACCGGCGCACGGGUGAGUAACGCGUAUCCAACCUGCCCAUCACUUGGGGAUAACCUUGCGAAAGUAAGACUAAUACCCAAUGAUAUCUCUAGAAGACAUCUGAAAGGGAUUACAGAUUUAUCGGUUAUGGAUGGGGAUGCGUCUGAUUAGCUUGUUGGCGGGGUAACGGCCCACAAAGGCGACGAUCAGUAGGGGUUCUGAGAGGAAGGUCCCCCACAUUGGACCUGAGACACGGUCCAAACUCCUACGGGAGGCAGCAGUGAGGAAUAUUGGUCAAUGGGCGAGAGCCUGAACCAGCCAAGUAGCGUGCAGGAUGACGGCCCUAUGGGUUGUAAACUGCUUUUAUAAGGGAAUAAAGUGAGUCUCGUGAGACUUUUUGCAUGUACCUUAUGAAUAAGGACCGGCUAAUUCCGUGCCAGCAGCCGCCGUAA